RNAcentral lists this ribosomal RNA (301 nucleotides) under uncultured bacterium. RNAcentral describes it as "partial 16S ribosomal RNA". It matches the Rfam family "Bacterial small subunit ribosomal RNA", at positions 509 to 808 of the family's 1533-position model. The record is from RNAcentral.
CAGCAGCCGCGGGAAUACGGAGGGUGCAAGCGUUAAUCGGAAUUACUGGGCGUAAAGCGCACGCAGGCGGUCUGUCAAGUCAGAUGUGAAAUCCCCGGGCUUAACCUGGGAACUGCAUUUGAAACUGGCAGGCUAGAGUCUUGUAGAGGGGGGUAGAAUUCCAGGUGUAGCGGUGAAAUGCGUAGAGAUCUGGAGGAAUACCGGUGGCGAAGGCGGCCCCCUGGACAAAGACUGACGCUCAGGUGCGAAAGCGUGGGGAGCAAACAGGAUUAGAUACCCCAGUAGUCCCUGUCUCUAUACC